CUACGGGAGGCUCCAGUGGGGAAUAUUGGACAAUGGGGGAAACCCUGAUCCAGCAAUGCCGCGUGUGUGAAGAAGGCCUUAGGGUUGUAAAGCACUUUCAGUAGUGAGGAAAAGUUUAAGGCUAAUACCCUUGAACCCUGACGUUAACUACAGAAGAAGCACCGGCUAACUUCGUGCCAGCAGCCGCGGUAAUACGAAGGGUGCAAGCGUUAAUCGGAUUUACUGGGCGUAAAGCGCGCGUAGGCGGUUUGAUAAGUCGGAUGUGAAAGCCCCGGGCUCAACCUGGGAAUUGCAUUCGAUACUGUCAGGCUAGAGUAUGGUAGAGGGAAGUGGAAUUCCACAUGUAGCGGUGAAAUGCGUAGAUAUGUGGAGGAACACCAGUGGCGAAGGCGACUUCCUGGCCCAAUACUGACGCUGAGGUGCGAAAGCGUGGGGAGCAAACAGGAUUAGAUACCCUUGUAGUC
This 464-nucleotide ribosomal RNA is filed under the name uncultured bacterium. Its description in RNAcentral is "partial 16S ribosomal RNA". It matches the Rfam family "Bacterial small subunit ribosomal RNA", at positions 339 to 795 of the family's 1533-position model. The record is from RNAcentral.